AAUACCCACCAAAUGCCAGGCUUAUGGUACAUAUUAAAGCAACUUGAGGGAAACUAUGAUUUCCUUUCUUAAGAUCAUACAUAGGUAGGCAUUUUUAUAUGUGCUCUAAUUUAAAAAAAAAUUGAAGUAUAGGUGAUUUACAAUACUAUGUUACUAUACAGCAAAGCAAUUGCAUAUACACACACACAUGUAUAAUUUUCCAUUACAGGUUAUUAUAGGACAUAUAGGUGCUCUAAUUUCUAGCCUUCAAAAGAACCUUAGUAAGUAGAUAUUAUUAUUACCAUAUUUUGUUUUCCUCCCCUUAGAAAAUUAGGCAUGGAAAAAUGACUUGCUCAAGGUCAUACUCUUGAGGAGGGCGGAACCAGGAUUUUAAUCCAAAUCUGUCUCUAAAACUCAGAUUUUUCUUACCUUUCUCACAUUAGCAAACCAAGCAUAUAAUCACAGUCCAAUGAAGCAGGAACAAUCACCAAUGGUAUUGAGUACAAAGUUCUGUAAGAGUAACUGCUAUUAUGGGAUAGGAGGCUGAAGGGCAGAGAACAUUUACAGAGGAGGAACUCAGGCCCAGCCAAAACAAUAACCUGCCCGAGAACAUAUGGCUGGGGGUGGGGGUGUGGGUGUGUGUGUAUGUGUGUAUGUGUGUGAGAGAGAGAGAGAAAGAGAGACAGGGAGAGGGGGAGGGAGCACAUGCUAGUGUUCAUAUCUUCUAAAGUCAAGUCCAACCCUUCUGGCACAUCCCAGGGCUACUCACUCUCCACUAUCUGAACUUCCUAUUCUAAACUUUACAGGUCCAGGUAACCCUAGCAUCCUCUUCUUGGAAAACACAGUGGAUCCUAGAAACUGGAAUCAAAUCCCAGUUUUUUACAUUUUUUGAUAUAGAUGUUUAUUUCUGUCCACACAUGUUUGUGGGGAUGUAUAUUCCCCUAUAAGCCUAAAAUAUGCUGUGAAUUAGUUGGGGGGGGGGGGCACUCAAAGUCAUUUGGUUCAGAGCUUCUGCCCAAGGAAAAACAAAAAGACGAGGGGCGUGAAAGACUGAGAGAUGGAAAGUAUGGGCAGCUUUCUGUCCAUCUGUGGCUCUGAAAUGCUAAGAACGGUUUGUUUGGGUGGAAUCAGCUGGAAGAAGCAGAAAAUGGGAGCGAGGAUUGUGUUCCUUAACUACCUCUCCUCGGCACAUCUGCCCAACACUGCUCACAUCUGUUCUAGCCUCUUCUCACACGCUGUUAGCAUGUUUGGCCUGGCUGAUUCCUCCCUGCAUUAAGGCAGGGCUCUUCUUUCUAAAAUGCUCCUUCAUAUAAUAUAGAACCUUUCAGGCUCAAGGAAAAAAGGAGCUACCCACAUCCCCACAGAUGAAUAAAAAUCUGGGUCUUAUUUCCUCUCUUUGCAGACAAGUAUCUAUGAGAGGGAGGCAGGAAAGGCUGGGCUUUUCUGUCUCAUGUGAGAACAUCUCUGAGGAAUCUACACAUUCUUCCCAAGGAGCGACAGGAAGAGAUGCCGUGGCAAGGCCACAUGGAGGUCUAGGGCCCUCAUCCGAGACUUUUUUGGAGGGGGGAUGGGAGGAAACCUUAUUUCACUAAUAGUUUUAUUUUUGCCUUACAUUAAAAAACAAAUGGAGAAACUGACCUGGAAGAUAACAGGUCUGCAAUCAACCCCACAAGAUAAAAAGUCAUGUAAGACAAGCCAGGAAGUCUAGGUUCUACACCUGGAUGACAUCUGUCUAGUCACCACUGCUUUCUGACAUGAGAGAAUAAGUGCAUUAGAUGAGCUCACAGAUGGCUCAUGUAUGACCUGUGUGCUGCCACCAACACCUUCCAUGCUUAUGGCAGACAUCAUCAAUCUAUGUGAUCCUCUGUCACUGCCUGGCAAGUUUAGCUUCAAGAUUCUCAACACAUUCCCCUAGAGAAAAGCUGUCUACUCCAACUAUUUAUUGUUCAUCCCUAGAAGAGAUCAUCUUUUGUAUCUUUUCUAGGUUUUUAAAGAAUUCUAUUUCCAGGAAGCAUUUCUCUCCAAUCUACUUACACAUUUUUUUCUUAUGCAUUUGGGAAGUCAAGUCCCACCCCCACCCAAUAAGUGAAACCUACUUCAGCUGUGCCUUUUUUUAGGCAUGUCUGAACUGAUCCACAAAAAGUUUUCAGCAACCUUAUAAAAUUUGGAAUCAGCACAGAUAAGAAACCAAAUGUUUGGAUACCGAGCUUAAAACCAUUUGAAGUGUUGCAUGUGAUCCAUCUGUAUUCAAACACUCUGUUGGCAGCCUCACAACAGAUUCUCAAGACACUCUUUCUUCUGGAAUUUCAGAUCCAGCCAUACACAUGAGCAAGAUGCGUGCUCCAAACAUGAUGCUGAACUCUUCAGCCUUAUUGAUCACUAUACAUUCUGCCACUAAAAUGUAUAGUGAUCAAGAUCCAAAGGGUAGAAGAUAUUUUUUUAAACAAGCUUCCCUCUCAUGUACUCAGAUGAGAUGGCACAAAGAGCAGUGACUAGAGACAGAGAGAUGGUGAACAAACAGGAGACUGGGAGUCAGGGAAACAGAAUUUUGGUUCCCAUUCCACCCCCAUCAUGUCAUGAGACUUUGGACCUCUCUCUUCUCUUCUUCAGUUGCACAGCCCUGAUUGAUGCUAAGAACUCAACCCAGCUCCUCUGCUUUGUUUCUUGGCUUCUGAAGAGUAAAUCCAGGGGUCCCUAGAGAUACUUCUGCUUAUAGUUUCUGUAUCUUCAAUUAUUUCAAUUUGAGGAGGGACAGGAAUGCUUCAAUUUUAUUACCCUUAUUUUCCCCUUCAAUAUUCUAAGAAAUUCACUUUUCAUUGUAUAUUAAGUGACUAAAUUAUAACAGGAUCUUCCGGAAUUUUUAACUUUUUUCUUAUUGCACUUACGUUGGUGCUUUUGUUUAUUAAUAAACUUACUGGGAGGUGUAACUGGUUUUGUCUUUUUUUUUUUUCAGUUCACUCUUUCCCACCAAAGUCUCAUCAUCCAGAAUAUCUUCUUUGUAGUCUUCAUAUAUGUAAAUCCUGUGCAUCCUUUAAAGCCCACUGUUUUACCUUCUCCAUGAAGUCAUCCAAGGUCAAAUUCUUAUCAUCUGUAACACACCUGAUCAUGGCAAUCCUGUUGCCUUCACUGUUAUUUCACUCCUUUAUCAUCUGUCCAUGCAUUUAUUCUCCACUUUUCAAUAAGAUUUGAGGAGGCACAAGCAUAAUUGAAAGAGGACCCUCUCUUUGUCAAGACUGAAGUAAGAAUGCUUAUGUAUUCUUACAUAUAAUAUUUAUAACCCCACUCAGAUAGCAUGAUAUUUUGGUUUUUUAACCUGAGAUAACUGAGAGUAGGUAAAGGUUAUACAUCUAGUAACAAAUAGAUCCAGCCUUAAAAUUCAGUAUCAUGUGAUUUCAAAAUCUUAAGACCACACAUCUCUCUUUGCCAUAAAUCCUUCUAAGCAGGUGGAAAAAGUAACAAGUUAAAAGCUGAAAAACAGGCAGGGAUCCUAUAAAAUUGGAUUGUAAUGAUCAUUGCACAACUAUAAAUGUAAUAAAUUCAUUGAGUAAUAAAAAAUAAAAUAAAAUACAUUAAUAUCCAAAAAAAAAAGUCAGGGGUUAGAAAUGAAGAGAGAAAAUAAAAGUAUAUGUGUGUGUAUAUAUAUGUAUACACAUACAAUAAAAGUGUAUAUAUAUUUAAAGUAUAUCUAUACUUAGUUAUAUAUAAUAUAUAUUAAUAAAAGUGUGUGUGUGUGUGUAUAUAUAUAUAUACACAAAUAUAAAUUUUUUUGGGGGGACAUGCCUGUGGUGUAUGGAAGUUCCCAGGCCAGGGAAUGAACCUGUGCCACACCAGUGACCCAAGCCGCUGCAGUGGCAAUGCCAAUCUUUAACCCACAGUACCCACAGGAGAACUCCAAAAGUGUAUUUAAAACAAAAAUCUUGGUUAAGUUAUAGCAAAUGAGUCUCACAAUGAGCACUGGGUUUCCUGGAAGCCUAGGCAAAGAGAGAAACAUAAUGCAUAUCAAUCUCUUGGUAUCUAGGAGAAGAAAACAGAGAUACAUGUGGUGUCCUGGAUUCUACUUCUGAGAUAAAUUUGUCACAAAAGACACUGAGCAAUACAUUGGAAGAUGUUCUCAGUAGCACUUUGAUCAAGAGUCCAAAAGAUGUUCUGCAGACAUCUGUUUUUUAUAAUAGCAGAAGCAUGGAUGAACACUGAGAGAAUGGUACUAAAUCAUAACUCCAAAGAGAUAAUUCUUUAUGGGACCCAAACAGUAUGGUUCAAGGAUGUGAUUUUCUCCUGAUCUGGCUUAAGAGGUGAAUAAAACAUGGAGCCUUUAAAGGGCUGAAUAGUUUGUAUGCUUUUAACCCAGCAUUUCCAUGAGAUGGUAAAGAUUUUUUGUUUAUGCAUGAAAAAUGAAAUGCGUAAUAGUUUUUUUUAAUUUGUAGUAUGCAAAGUUGUUUUAUAGUUAUACAAUUUUGUGGUUGUUUUGCAAAAGCUUAUUCCUAAGAUUCAGUGAACUAUGUUUAGAUUGCAAAAAGUCAUUGAAGAAAUAAUUUGGGGGAGUUCCCUUAGUGGCUCAGUGGUUAACAAACCCAAUUGGAAUCCAUGAGGAUGUGGGUCUGAUCCCUGGCCUCGCUCAUGGGUUAAGGAUAUGGCGUUGCCAUGAGCUGAUGGUUGCAGAUGUGGCUCGGAUCUGGCACUGCUGUGGCUGUGGCAUAGGCUGGCACUGCAGCUCUGAUUCGAUCCCUAGCCUGUAAAAUUCCAUAUGCUGCAGUGCAGGCUCUAAAAGGAAAAAAAAAGAAAAGAAAAAUUUUUUUCUCAUGUACCGUCUUUUAAGUUUUACCUACUUUGAAUUUUUUCAUCUUUUGUGUCC
This 4831-nucleotide long non-coding RNA is filed under the name Sus scrofa (pig). Its description in RNAcentral is "lncRNA (ENSSSCG00000060313.1)". The record is from RNAcentral. Lineage: Eukaryota; Metazoa; Chordata; Mammalia; Artiodactyla; Suidae.